GCGCACGUGGCGGAAUUGGUAGACGCGCUAGCUUGAGGGGUUAGUGACUUAAAAGUCGUGGAAGUUCGAGUCUUCUCGUGCGCA
Molecule: transfer RNA, 84 nt
Filed under: Mesoflavibacter sp. HG37
Lineage: Bacteria; Pseudomonadati; Bacteroidota; Flavobacteriia; Flavobacteriales; Flavobacteriaceae
Also listed under: 2 other names
Description: tRNA-Leu
Rfam family: tRNA
About the family: Transfer RNA (tRNA) molecules are approximately 80 nucleotides in length. Their secondary structure includes four short double-helical elements and three loops (D, anti-codon, and T loops). Further hydrogen bonds mediate the characteristic L-shaped molecular structure. tRNAs have two regions of fundamental functional importance: the anti-codon, which is responsible for specific mRNA codon recognition, and the 3' end, to which the tRNAs corresponding amino acid is attached (by aminoacyl-tRNA synthetases). tRNAs cope with the degeneracy of the genetic code in two manners: having more than one tRNA (with a specific anti-codon) for a particular amino acid; and 'wobble' base-pairing, i.e. permitting non-standard base-pairing at the 3rd anti-codon position.
Source: RNAcentral